GCACAGCAACGGGUGGAGCGUGCGGUUUAAUUGGAUUCAACGCCGGAAAACUCACCGGAGGCGACGGUUACAUGAAGGCCAGGCUGAUGACCUUGCCAGAUUUUCCGAGAGGUGGUGCAUGGCCGCCGUCAGUUCGUACCGUAAGGCGUUCUGUUAAGUCAGACAACGAACGAGACCCUCAUCUUUAAUUGCUACUGGUAAGUCCGCUUAUCAGGCACAUUAAAGAAACCGCUGGCGAUAAGUCAGAGGAAGGCGAGGGCAACGGUAGGUCAGUAUGCCCUGAAUCCUCCGGGCUACACGCGCGCUACAAAGGCUAGGACAAUGGGUUCCUACACCGAAAGGUGACGGUAAUCCCGAAACCUAGUCGUAGUUCGGAUUGAGGAUUGAAACUCAUCCUCAUGAAGCUGGAAUCCGUAGUAAUCGCGGGUCAACAUCCCGCGGUGAAUAUGCCCCUGCUCCUUGCACACACCGCCCGUCAAACCAUGCGAGUUGGGUCUGAGUGAGGAUGUAGUAUUUUGCUGCGUUCAAACUUAGGCUUAGUAAGCGGGGUU
Molecule: ribosomal RNA, 551 nt
Filed under: uncultured archaeon
Lineage: Archaea
Description: bacterial SSU rRNA
Rfam family: Archaeal small subunit ribosomal RNA
Source: RNAcentral